This 256-nucleotide ribosomal RNA is filed under the name uncultured bacterium. RNAcentral's name for it is "partial 16S ribosomal RNA". It matches the Rfam family "Bacterial small subunit ribosomal RNA", at positions 524 to 776 of the family's 1533-position model. The record is from RNAcentral.
GACGUAGGGCGCGAGCGUUGUCCGGAAUUAUUGGGCGUAAAGAACUCGUAGGCGGUGUGUCACGUCGGCCGUGAAAACCUGCAGCUUAACUGUGGGCGUGCGGUCGAUACGGGCAUCACUGGAGUUCGGCAGGGGAGACUGGAAUUCCUGGUGUAGCGGUGAAAUGCGCAGAUAUCAGGAGGAACACCGGUGGCGAAGGCGGGUCUCUGGGCCGAUACUGACGCUGGAGGAAGCGAAAGCGUGGGGAGCAAACAGG